GCAGAAAUCAAAGUCCAAGGUGCAAUUGAUUAGAGGGUAAUAGGGCAUCGACCCUAUAAUCUUCCUUCUCUUUUCCUUUUUUUUUUUUUUCUUUUUUUUCUUCAUUCUUAGAAAAGACUAUAAUCUAAGAAUCGUUCUUGUACUUCGGUUAGAUGUAUUCAAAUUAUUAUCAAGAAAAUGUCUUUUAAUAGAUGCGGGGCAAGAAAAUAUGAUCAAGAUGAAGACUAUAAGAACAGAUCUAAAAUAAUUAGAUCUGUUCUUAAGGCUGGAUGGAAGUUUGUAGGUAUGUGGAAGAGAUUGUGGUAUAGAAUCAGAAUGAGCAAUCUCCACAUUUAGUUUCACAUUAGUUAUGUCAAUAAUAGAUAUUUUUAUGUUGAUAUUGCGUUGGCUAUAAUUUUCAGAUUAGCUUUACCAUGCUGGAUUCAAAUCAUGUGUUCCAUUAUACCCGUUCCCACCAAUAAAAAAGCGAACGAUUUGAACACGUAGAAACUAAAGAUUUUACUCGUUAAUCUUUAUUUCAUUAAUUUUAGUUUCUCUUUUUUAAUCAUAAAUCAUAAAUAAUUUCCUCUUGUAAUCUUCCUUCUUCAACAUUGAAAAGAUGAAACGAACAGCCGCAGCUUGUCAACGUUCAUAGCAUAGGCAGCGGCACUGCGGCAGCGGCUUGCCGCCGGCAAAAUACAUCGGCCAUGAACAUGGCGGAGCUGGCAACGAAGCUUGUGACAAUGACGUCAUUCCUUUGACCUCCCUUGAUAGAAAGGUUCGUCUAAAGAACCGAGAAGACGCUAAAAGGGAAGAAUUGAAGAAGGUGAAGCAGGGUUGACAUUUCUGACAGAAGACAUUUGGUUUUAAUGGGACACUUUGGCUUAACAAAUGUGUAGAGGAUAAUAGUGUAAGAGUGUAACCACGUAAAACAGAUUCUAUUAAAAUCUGUAAGUUGUUAACAGUAGCUUGUUACUCAAGCUAACUGAUUCUUUAGUCUUGUAUCUAAUUUCCUUAGUAUCUGAGUUCUAUAUAUAUAAGCCUUGUAUCAUUUAUCUCUAAUAAUCAAUGAGAAUACUAUUCAGUUUA
Arachis ipaensis is the source of this 1068-nucleotide non-coding RNA. The record is from RefSeq and is a predicted model, not a curated record. NCBI's taxonomy places the organism in Eukaryota, Viridiplantae, Streptophyta, Magnoliopsida, Fabales, Fabaceae.